Molecule: long non-coding RNA, 682 nt
Filed under: Phasianus colchicus (ring-necked pheasant)
Lineage: Eukaryota; Metazoa; Chordata; Aves; Galliformes; Phasianidae
Description: lncRNA (ENSPCLG00000019022.1)
Source: RNAcentral
UCACUGCUACGGGGUGUGGGGUCACCAAUAUGGAAUAUAGGGAUGCGGCUAUGGGGCGUGGGGACCCUCUGAGCCUAUGGGGACCCCAAUAUGGGGUGUGGGGACAGCGCUAUGGGGUCACUGUCAUAGGACACGGGGACAGGGCUAUGGGGUGUGGGGUCACCAAUAUGGGACGCGGGGACACUGCUAUGGGGCGUGGGGACAGCAAUGGGGUGUGGGGACCCUCAGAGCCCAUGGGGUGUGGGGUCACUAAUUUGGGAUGUGAGAUCACUGCUAUGGGAUGUGGGGACGGCGCUAUGGGGUCACUGCUAUGGGACAUGGGGACAGGGCUAUGGGGUGCGGGGACAUCAAUGGGGUGUGGGAACAUCAAUGGGGUGUGGGGUCACUGCUAUGGGACAUGGGGACAGCACUAUGGGGCCUGGGGACAUCAAUGGGGUGUGGGGACUCUCUGAGGCCAUGGGGACCCCAAUAUGGGGUGUGGGGGCACCAAUAUGGGGUGUGGGGGCACCAAUAUGGGGUGUGAGAUCAUUGCUACGGGAUGUGGGGACAUCAAUGGGGCGUGGGGUCACUGCUAUGGGACAUGGGGACGCUGCUAUGGGGCGUGGGGACACCAAUGGGGUGCCGGGACAGCGCUAUGGGGUCACUGUUAUGGGACGUGGGGACAGGGCUAUGGGGUGUGGGA